Long non-coding RNA from Antechinus flavipes (yellow-footed antechinus), 6575 nucleotides. RefSeq lists it as uncharacterized. The record is from RefSeq and is a predicted model, not a curated record. The transcript is spliced from 5 exons. NCBI's taxonomy places the organism in Eukaryota, Metazoa, Chordata, Mammalia, Dasyuromorphia, Dasyuridae.
GGAAGAGACAGAGGCGUCAGGAGGACAAUCCCACCUUCAAGCGGAGGUUGGGUCAGUCCGGGCCGGGAAAAGGAGCUGGAAGGAGUCUGGCCACAGAGCAGGGCUUCUGACUGCCCGCGAUCUUGGGCGAGUCCCCUCCCUCCCUUCCUCUCUGGGCACGAGGGGGCUGGACCAGGUCCCCCAAAAGGUCCCUGGCCUGCUGCCCCCGUACCCAGAAGGCACUUGGUAAAAGCCCGUUUCUCCCCCCUCGCCACCCCCCAAAAACACAGGGGGCACAAACUCCGGCUAGCAGCCUCGAGGAAAUUCUUCCCAAAUCCCAGGCUGGGGAGACGGGCAGAACACCGGGGGUCCCCCGGAAUUACACCGACAUGCACACAAAAUACACUCCCAAGUGCCACAAGUCUGGGCCCCGUGACCCUGCUAAAGGCAGGAGGACACAAAAAUACCUGUAACCCCCUUCCCACUGUGGCAAAAACCAAGUGACAUCAGGAAAGUCGUGCCAGAACCGGCAGCUAGGGGGGGCAGUGGGCCUGCAGUCAGCAAGAGCGGCUCAGAUCCAGCCUGGGCCAUUUACUAGCAGUAGGCUCCUGGGGAGGUAACUUCACCUCGGUUUUCCCCAGCUUUAAACCAUAAAAUGGGGAUUUUACAGGGCUGUUGUGAAGAGGUUUUGCAUACAGCAGGUGGUUAAUAAAUGCUUGUUUCCCUUCCCCAAUGGGAAAGGAAGGAACUGACGGAUUUGAGAGGCCCCAGUAUGAACUAAAAGCGGGCCCAGAACUUUUUGACAGCAUUAAGGAGGAAACGCCAUCCUGGCUUUCUCCCAGGUGCUUCUGCUGGGUUUGGCCCUGGGGGCUCCAAGCCUCGGGGAAUUCAGAGAAGGAGGAUUCCUAGAACUUGCAAGAAAAGGCCAGCCAAAAGAGGAAGCGGCCAUCACUCCCGCAAUCUUGGCUUCCAGGGGAGCAGGUCCUGCCAGAACCGACUUACUUCCCUUUGUGGGGGGGACUGAGCCGUCAGCGAAGGCCCUCUGCUACUCCCCAGGGCAGGGUCUAUGUUGGGUGGGAGCGUGUCUCUUAACCUGACCCCACUUAGUGAGAGCAUCUUCCCUCGGGUAAUUAUCUCCAAGUUAUCCUGCCUACAAUUUGUUUACUCUGAUCUACUAGUUUGCAUGUGUUCUCCUCCACUUCUAGAGGGCAGAGCCUGGCAUAUAUACAGUAGGCGCUUAAUAAAUGUUUGGUGACUGGUGAUUUAAUCUCUUAGGACCCUGAGAAACUCUCUCUGAUGGAGGGAGGGCUGCCAUCCCACAGAACCGAAGAAAUGACUGCUCUAGUACCGCUCCCUAUCAGCCCGACACUAGGGGGACGUCCCCGUGGCUUUCUGCUUGGUCCAAAUCUUCACCGCCGAUUUGGAGAAAUGACAAGAUGGUUUACACUAAAUCCAGGUAACAUGCUAAGCCAGGAGAGAAUCAGCUCCAGUCAGAACCGGCAGGGGGGCAGCUUGUUUGGAUCAGACCCAGGAGGUCUGGGCUUGCCAGGGGCCAACGAAGUUUCAGGAGAUAAGGAGGGAGAAGUAAAGGGAGGGAGGGAAGGAAAAGGGAAACUGGGAGACAGGAAGGUGGAGGAGGGGAAGGGGAGAAAAAAAGACCUGGUGUUUCCAGGGGGCCCCUGAGGUGAGUCAGUGGUGUCACGUGACAGUCCAGAUGUCCCGAACCUUGGCCGGGCCACAAGGGAAGCCUAGGCUAGGUUCUGGGCACCGUGUCUGAAUGGUAUCGUUCCCCUUAAGAGUCCAAGGGAGAAAAGUGAAAGAAGUGAAAAGAAGGCUGGAAGGACACAAAGCAGCGGUAGAAGCGGUGGGUCCCACGUUGAGCCUCCCAGCACUGAGGGCUGUCCCGGGGAGGCUUCUGGGGGAUCCUCCCUGCUGGAGCAGAGCCGGCAGCGCAUCUGUCGGGGACCCGCUGCCCCAUGGGAUAGCAGCAGCAGGAGGAGACCCCCAGCCACACAGGCCCACGCUCACAGUGUCUGCCCAAAAACUGCAAACGAGGCUCUGCCCGAACAGGAGAGAACGGCCCACUGGGACGUGAGAACGGGACCACUCCCAAAGACACGGGGGAGACAGCAAAGGCCAGUGAGCGUGCCCAAUGCCAUCUCAUCCCAUCUUCCCUCAGUGGCAGCCGGGGGCUUGUUCACGCCCAAUUGUGGUCUCCUCCAACAGAUCCGAAACUCUGAGAGACAUGGGGCCGGUUUUGCCUUUUUGCCCUUCAUACAAUGCCUGCAUAUAGUAGGUGCUUAAUAAAUGCUUGCUAAAUGACAAGUUAAGGUCAGCUGGGAGAGGCAGCAAACCUCUGAUCCGGUUUGAGAUUCAAGAAUACACGGCCCCCUUUUGGGUGACUGUUCAUGGGGCAUUUGGUUGCCUGACUUUCCCUUGUAGGAAGACAAAAUAUCCAAUUAAAAAAAUUUCAAGCAUGGCAAGAAAAAAGGAUGCAGGGAAUCUGUGAGACUUGGAUCCCUCUCUGAAUGUACAAGACGCUUAACAGGCUCAAGGCCUGAGGUUUAGGGGCACCCUCUUUAAAGAGGCUCAUGGUAAGCACCCCAAAAGUCUAUUUUGGGGUAAACACCCCAAAAGGGGGCACGGCUAGGGGGCGCAGUGGAGAGCGCACCUGCCCUGGAGUCAGGAGGACCUGAGUUCAAAUCAGACUCAGACACUUAGCACUUCCUAGCUGUGUGACCCUGGGCAAGUCACCUAACACCAAUUGUCUCAGAAAACAAAAAAAACUAUUUAAAAAAAAAGAAUUACUGAACUAUCUGAAAGCCAAGAUUUGGGGCAGUGAGAUGGCUCAGGAGCUGGAGCCCCCACUCUGGGGUCAGAAGGACCCGGAUUUAAAAGCAGCCUCAGACACUGGCUAGCUGUGUGACUCUGGGCCUGUCACUUGACAAUAUAAGCUGAGGGCUAUGGGGGCGUUUCUGAGAAUCUGGGAUACCGGCUUCUGUUGUCAUUUGAGCCUCACAACAACCCCAGGAGGAGGAUGCUGUUGCUAUGGGGAGGUAGGAUUGGAAGCCAGGUCCCCCUGAUCAAAGUGGCCGCUGAGUCCAAAGCCAGACUCAGCUACUUCCUGGCCGGGUAACCCAGGACAAGUCCUGUCUCAGGGCCGUUAUGAGGAUAGAAUGAAAUGUUUAUAAAAAGGGCCAACGGCCCUAAAAUGCUUCUCCCUCCUCUUCCCAUCCUCACUCCGAGUCCCCCGAACGCCACGGGGUGGAGGGUUAGCUGGCUCCCCAUGCUCAAACUCUCCAGGCGGGCAGGACCGCCCAGAGACGGCUCCCCUCGGGGAACUCGGGGCCGCAUCCCUGAUGUGGAAACGCAACUGUGGGGCCAGCCGGUGACAACCACAGAGGGACUGGGAACGGUCCCAGGGCCCAGUCCUGGGGCCGGUGACAACCAGAGGGGCUGGGAACGGUCCCAGGGCCCAGUCCUGGGGCCGGUGACAACCAGAGGGGCUGGGAACGGUCCCAGGGCCCAGUCCUGGGGCCAGUGACAACCAGAGGGGCUGGGAACGGUCCCAGGGCCCAGUCUUGGGGCCGGUGACAACCAGAGGGGCUGGGAACGGGGCCCCGGGGCCCAGUCCUGGGGCCAGUGACAACCAGAGGGGCUGGGAACGGUCCCAGGGCCCAGUCUUGGGGCCGGUGACAACCAGAGGGGCUGGGAACGGGGCCCCGGGGCCCAGUCCUGGGGCCAGUGACAACCAGAGGGGCUGGGAACGGUCCCAGGGCCGAGGGGCUGGGAACAGUCCCAGGGCCCAGUCCUGGGGCCGGUGACAACCAGAGGGGCUGGGAACGGGGCCCCGGGGCCCAGUCCAGGGGCCGUGGGCCUGAAAAGGGAGCUUCACACCUGAGUAAGUUAACUUCUGCGGGCCAAGUUUCUCCAGAUGGAGAUACAAGGAAGAAGUCUUUCUGUAAGUAUGUCAAAUAGAGACCUCUGUCCCAAAAUGAGGUGUCUGACUCCCUUUCAGAUGAGUCCAUUAACCUCUUCCACCCAUGUUGCCCUGCCCUGCCCAGCCCUACCCAGCCCCGUCCAGUCCUGUCCCCACCCAGCUAAGAGAACCAAAAGGUCAUCUACUUAACCCUCCCCCCCAUCUUUUUCCCCUUUACAGAUGAAAAAACCACAUGACCCACUAACAAGUCCGUCCCUCCCUCGCUCUGUCUGCAGCCUUGAAGGGGGUACAGAAUACUUACCCUCAGCCUAGCUCCCAGCAAACUACCUAAAGGGAGCCCCCAUGAGAGCAUCCCUCCGGGUGGAGCCUGGUGACCACCAGAAACGAUCUCUGUGCAGCCCAAACAAGAAUUACACCAAGCUUUCCCCGUUAGCGUGAGUGACGACUCCUUUGAGGUGGCGACACGUAUUUAAAUUGCCAUUAUUGGAAAUUGUAACCCUAUAAACUACAGUAACUGAUUCCUGCCCAAGGAGGUAAGCAGUGUGAAUUCAAAUAAAACCACUUCAGUGGGGACUCCUGAUCUGUCCUAACUUGGAGCUGACUGGACUGGAAAGAGCUAGCUAGUUGGCGCAGUAGCCUGGGACCAGAAAAACGAGUUCAAAUCCUGCCUCAGACUCUUGCCAGUCAUGUGGUUUGGGGCAUGUCACGUCAUUUGUCUGCCUCAGUUUCUUUGCCUGUAACAUGGAGAUAAGUCAGAACACCUACCAACAUCCCAAUGCUUAUCGUGAGAACCAAAUGAGAGAAUGGCAAUAAAGGACUUGGCCCGGGGUCUGGCUCAUAGUCAUUAUUAUUACAAUGAGAUCACACAAACACAAAUCUGAAGGCAUUCUUUAAAUGCCAGCUCUGAUUACUCCCCUUCAAAUGCCUAAUAUUCCGAAUCAAACCAGCCUAUACUUUGGACCCCAAACUAGAUUCUAUUGUCAUGGCUGCUAAGUACCCCUCAUCUCUUAGAAUCAAGGUGCAGGAAACCCACCCAGAGUGGAGUUCACAGAAUCCCUUCUCCGCCCCCUUCCCGCUCCCUCCACCCUCCCCCCCCCCCCACCUAUGCCUCCCCAAUCAGCAAGGAACUACUGAUUAGGAGUAAUUUACUAGUUAUCUGGAAGUGGAAACUUGAAUUUAUACAUUCCUUUAGGAUUUGCAAAUGAAAGGCAUCAAGUUGUACCUCAUCUCCUCCCCAUGACUCUUUUCAUGGAAUUAGAGCAGGGAUCCUAGAAAGGACCAGCCUCUCCCCCUUUUCUUUUUUUUCUUUUUUUUUUUUUUUGCUGAGGCAAUUGGGAUUAAGUGACUUGCCCAAGGUCACAUAGCUAAGAAGUGUUAAGUAUGUGAGAUCAGACUUGAAUUCAGUUCCUCCAGCCUUCAGGGCUGAUGCUCUAUCCAUUUCGCUACCUACCUGCCCUUCCCCAUCUUUUAAAACAAAUUUAGUCCCUACUAUGUGCUAGGCUCUAAGCAUUAGUACUGGGGAUAAAAACAAAAGUUAGAUAGUCCCUGACCACAAGGAGCUCACAAUCUAACAGAAGAGACAACCCACUAACAGCUAUGUACAAAAAGAAGAGAUAAACUUGAGAUAAGAUUUAUCUUUGGUUAGGAAAGAUUUCCUAUAGAUGGAAUUUUAGUUGGGACUUGGAAGAAAGCCAGGCAGAUCAGUGGGCAAAGCAGAGAAGGGACAGGCAUGGGCAACAGCCAGAGAGCAUGUCUCCAGAGCCCAGAGAAGGAGGAUCUUGUCCCAGGAACAGCCAAAAGGUCAGGGUGACUGUACCGAGGAGAAUGUUUUGGAGAGUAAGAUGUGAAAAGAUUGGGGACGUAAGGUCAUUUUAGGGGAGCUUUGAAUGUCAAGCAAAGGAUUUUGCAUUUAUUCCUUGAUGUAACGAGGAACCACUGGAGUUUACAGAGUAAGUGGUGACAAAAUCACACUGGCAUUUUAGGAAAAUUCCUUUGGUAGCUGAAGGGAGCAUGGACUAGAAUGGGGAAGAGAGUGGAAACACCACCUCCACCUCCCAGCAGCUAUUUUAAUGAUCUAGGCAGGAGGCAAUGAAGCCCUGGAUCAAGGUGGGGGAAGUAUCAAGAGUAGAAAGGGGAUAUUCAAGAGAUACUGUAGAUGAAACUGAAGAGAUGCAAUUGACCAGAGAGGCUAGCAGAGGUGAAAUCCACCAGAGGCUGCAGAGGAGAAAUGCACCAGAGAGGCUGCAGAGAUGAAAUCCACCAGAGAGGUUUUAGAGGUGAAAUUCACCAAAGAGGCUACAGAGGUGAAAUCCACCAGAGAGGCUGCAGAGGUGAAAUCCACCAGAGAGGCUGCAGAGGUGAAAUCCACCAGAGAGGCUGCAGAGGUGAAAUCCACCAGAGAGGCUGCAGAGGUGAAAUCCACCAGAGAGGUUUUAGAGGUGAAAUUCACCAAAGAGGCUACAGAGGUGAAAUCCACCAGAGAGGCUGCAGAGGUGAAAUCCACCAGAGAGGCUGCAGAGGUGAAAUCCACCAGAGAGGUUUUAGAGGUGAAAUUCACCAAAGAGGCUACAGAGGUGAAAUCCACCAGAGAGGCUGCAGAGGUGAAAUCCACCAGAGAGGCUGCAGAGGUGAAAUCCACCAGAGAGGCUGCAGAGGU